RNAcentral lists this ribosomal RNA (440 nucleotides) under uncultured bacterium. RNAcentral describes it as "partial 16S ribosomal RNA". It matches the Rfam family "Bacterial small subunit ribosomal RNA", at positions 338 to 795 of the family's 1533-position model. The record is from RNAcentral.
CCUACGGGGGGCAGCAGUAGGGAAUAUUGCUCAAUGGGGGAAACCCUGAAGCAGCAAAGCCGCGUGGAGGAUGAAGGUUUUAGGAUUGUAAACUCCUUUUGUGAGAGAAGAAAAUGACGGUAUCUAACGAAUAAGCACCGGCUAACUCCGUGCCAGCAGCCGCGGUAAUACGGAGGGUGCAAGCGUUACUCGGAAUCACUGGGCGUAAAGAGUGCGCAGGCGGGCUUGUAAGUCAGAUGUGAAAUCCUGUAGCUUAACUACAGAACUGCAUUUGAAACUAUGAGUCUAGAGUGUGGGAGAGGUAGGUGGAAUUCUUGGUGUAGCGGUAAAAUGCGUAGAUAUCAAGAGGAAUACUGAUUGCGAAGGCGGCCUACUGGAACAUUACUGACGCUCAUGCACGAAAGCGUGGGGAGCAAACAGGAUUAGAUACCCCUGUAGUC